GGGCUUGUACUGGUUUCGACGGGGGUUUUGAAGUUGGAGAAGCCAUCCGCGGGACGGGACCGCGCAGUAAACCGUAACUUAAAAAUAAACGCAGACAAUAAUAAAUUAGCGUACGCUGCCUAAUUUCGGCAGCAGUCGGCUCCGGACUGCCCGCGGUCUGGAUUACCGGCUUCAACACUUGCGGGGCACUUCGUUUCCAAAGCUUUGAGGAGAUGGAAGACUUUAUGAAGCUACCGAAGAUGGCAGCCUGUCAUUAGGCGGCAAUCCGGGGGAAUCUCAAAAUAAUGACUGUGAUGGGAGAUGCUCUGAUGGAGAGGCUUUCGGACGCGGGUUCGAUUCCCGCCAGGUCCAUAC
Molecule: non-coding RNA, 354 nt
Organism: Ruminococcus sp. DSM 100440
Lineage: Bacteria; Bacillati; Bacillota; Clostridia; Eubacteriales; Oscillospiraceae
Source: Rfam